GCCCAUUAAAGCGGUACGCGAGCUGGGUUCAGAACGUCGUGAGACAGUUCGGUCCCUAUCCGGCGCGGGCGCAGGAUAUCUGAGAGGAGCUGUCCUUAGUACGAGAGGACCGGGAUGGACAGACCGCUGGUGUACCUGUUGGCCUACCAAGGCCAUGGCAGGGUAGCCAAGUCUGGACGGGAUAAACGCUGAAGGCAUCUAAGCGUGAAGCCCCCCUCAAGAUGAGAUAUCCCAUCGCGAAAGCGAGUAAGACCCCUUGAAGACGACGAGGUAGAUAGGUUAGAGGUGGAAGUGCAGUAAUGUACGUAGCUGACUAAUACUAAUCGGUCGAGGGCUUAUCCA
RNAcentral lists this ribosomal RNA (342 nucleotides) under Enterocloster clostridioformis. RNAcentral's name for it is "bacterial LSU rRNA". It matches the Rfam family "Bacterial large subunit ribosomal RNA", at positions 2583 to 2925 of the family's 2925-position model. Lineage: Bacteria; Bacillati; Bacillota; Clostridia; Lachnospirales; Lachnospiraceae. The record is from RNAcentral.